CGAGCGGACAGAAGGGAGCUUGCUCCCGGAUGUUAGCGGCGGACGGGUGAGUAACACGUGGGUAACCUGCCUGUAAGACUGGGAUAACUCCGGGAAACCGGAGCUAAUACCGGAUAGUUCCUUGAACCGCAUGGUUCAAGGAUGAAAGACGGUUUCGGCUGUCACUUACAGAUGGACCCGCGGCGCAUUAGCUAGUUGGUGAGGUAACGGCUCACCAAGGCGACGAUGCGUAGCCGACCUGAGAGGGUGAUCGGCCACACUGGGACUGAGACACGGCCCAGACUCCUACGGGAGGCAGCAGUAGGGAAUCUUCCGCAAUGGACGAAAGUCUGACGGAGCAACGCCGCGUGAGUGAUGAAGGUUUUCGGAUCGUAAAGCUCUGUUGUUAGGGAAGAACAAGUGCAAGAGUAACUGCUUGCACCUUGACGGUACCUAACCAGAAAGCCACGGCUAACUACGUGCCAGCAGCCGCGGUAAUACGUAGGUGGCAAGCGUUGUCCGGAAUUAUUGGGCGUAAAGGGCUCGCAGGCGGUUUCUUAAGUCUGAUGUGAAAGCCCCCGGCUCAACCGGGGAGGGUCAUUGGAAACUGGGAAACUUGAGUGCAGAAGAGGAGAGUGGAAUUCCACGUGUAGCGGUGAAAUGCGUAGAGAUGUGGAGGAACACCAGUGGCGAAGGCGACUCUCUGGUCUGUAACUGACGCUGAGGAGCGAAAGCGUGGGGAGCGAACAGGAUUAGAUACCCUGGUAGUCCACGCCGUAAACGAUGAGUGCUAAGUGUUAGGGGGUUUCCGCCCCUUAGUGCUGCAGCUAACGCAUUAAGCACUCCGCCUGGGGAGUACGGUCGCAAGACUGAAACUCAAAGGAAUUGACGGGG
Molecule: ribosomal RNA, 873 nt
Filed under: Bacillus altitudinis
Lineage: Bacteria; Bacillati; Bacillota; Bacilli; Caryophanales; Bacillaceae
Description: bacterial SSU rRNA
Rfam family: Bacterial small subunit ribosomal RNA
Source: RNAcentral